AGUGAACGCUGGCGGUAGGCCUAACACAUGCAAGUCGAGCGGCCGCACAGUAAGCGCUUGCUCCUACGGGUGGCGAGUGGCGGACGGGUGAGGAAUACAUCGGCAUCUUCUUUUUCGUGGGGGAUUACGUAGGGCCACUUAUGCUAAUACCGCAUACGUCCUACGGGUGAAAGCAGGAGUUCUUCAGACUUUGCCCGUUAGAUUGAGAUGAUGCCGGAUUAGCUAGUUGGCGGGGUAAAGGCCCACCAAGGCAACGAUCCGUAGCUGGUCUGAGAGGAUGAUCAGCCACACUGGAACUGAGACACGGUCCAGACUCCUACGGGAGGCAGCAGUAGGGAAUAUUGGGCAAUGGGCGCAAGCCUGAUCCAGCCAUACCGCGUGAGUGAAGAAGGCCUUCGGAUUGUAAAGCCCUUUUAUUGGGGAAGAAAAGAAGCGGGUUAAUACCCCGCUAUUCUGACGGUACCCAAAGAGUAAGCACCGGCUAACUACGUG
RNAcentral lists this ribosomal RNA (492 nucleotides) under uncultured bacterium. Its description in RNAcentral is "partial 16S ribosomal RNA". It matches the Rfam family "Bacterial small subunit ribosomal RNA", at positions 29 to 507 of the family's 1533-position model. The record is from RNAcentral.